This is a long non-coding RNA of Trichomycterus rosablanca, 790 nucleotides long. RefSeq lists it as uncharacterized. The transcript has 9 exons. Lineage: Eukaryota; Metazoa; Chordata; Actinopteri; Siluriformes; Trichomycteridae. The record is from RefSeq and is a predicted model, not a curated record.
UUCAGUCUUUCCCUCCCUGUUGCUCUGCUGAUGACGGGGCAGUAAUGUCUUCAUCCGAUCAGAAAAAUGCUAUAACGUGAAUAAUUGGUUAAUUUGUCGCAGUAACUCCUAAGCAGUAUGUUUUGUUAAUCACUGGCCUCUUUUAUGAGAGCCCGGGUAAAUGGUUGCUCCUCGGAAGGGAAAAAGAAGCACGUGGCUGCGCAUGGCCAGAAAGCUGUUUUAGCACAAUGGGGAUUAAACUGGUAACUGAAAACGUAUGUGGCUAAUGGAUGCACCACGCUCCGCGCACACCGUGUAAGGACCAGGUUGACCAUCGCAGGUGCAGAAGCCCAAAGUUGAAUUUGUCAACAAAGAAAGCAGGGAGACCAGAGUAAAGAGUGCAGGAUGAUGCAGCCACUUAACUUCAAGGCUACAUUCAUGUGGGGCAGGAGACCAAAGUCAAGAGUGCAGGAUGAUGCAGCCACUUAACUUCAAGGCUACAUUCAUGUGGGGCAGGAGACCAAAGUCAAGAGUGCAGGAUGAUGCAGCCACUUAACUUCAAGGCUACAUUCAUGUGGGGCAGGAGACCAGAGUCAGGAGUACUGAAUGUUGCAGCCACUCAACCUCAAGGCUAAAUUCACUUGGGGCAGGAGACCUGAGUCAGGAGUACUGGAUGUUGCAGCCACUUAACCUCAAGGCUAAAUUCACUUGGGGCAGGUAACAAGCAAGAUAAGACACCUGAUCUAUGAUGCAGUCAUUUAUGAAGAAAAUUAUUUAUAAAAAAAAUAAUAAAAGCUUGUACUGAUUAAAA